Molecule: ribosomal RNA, 498 nt
Filed under: uncultured bacterium
Lineage: Bacteria
Description: partial 16S ribosomal RNA
Rfam family: Bacterial small subunit ribosomal RNA
Source: RNAcentral
AUUGAACGCUGGCGGCAUGCCUUACACAUGCAAGUCGAACGGUAACGCGGGGCAACCUGGCGACGAGUGGCGAACGGGUGAGUAACGCAUCGGAACGUGCCCAGUAGUGGGGGAUAGCCCGGCGAAAGCCGGAUUAAUACCGCAUACGACCUACGGGUGAAAGGGGGGGAUCGCAAGACCUCCCGCUAUUGGAGCGGCCGAUGUCAGAUUAGGUAGUUGGUGGGGUAAAGGCCCACCAAGCCUGCGAUCUGUAGCUGGUCUGAGAGGACGACCAGCCACACUGGGACUGAGACACGGCCCAGACUCCUACGGGAGGCAGCAGUGGGGAAUUUUGGACAAUGGGCGCAAGCCUGAUCCAGCCAUGCCGCGUGCGGGAAGAAGGCCUUCGGGUUGUAAACCGCUUUUGUCAGGGAAGAAACGCUCUGGGCUAAUACCCCGGGGUAAUGACGGUACCUGAAGAAUAAGCACCGGCUAACUACGUGCCAGCCGCCGCAGUAA